This 253-nucleotide ribosomal RNA is filed under the name uncultured bacterium. RNAcentral describes it as "partial 16S ribosomal RNA". It matches the Rfam family "Bacterial small subunit ribosomal RNA", at positions 524 to 776 of the family's 1533-position model. The record is from RNAcentral.
UACGUAGGGGCCGAGCGUUGUCCGGAGUUAUUGGGCGUAAAGCGCGCGCAGGCGGCCUCGCGCGCCCGACGUGAAAGCCCCCGGCUUAACCGGGGAGGGUCGUUGGGGACGGCGGGGCUUGAGGGCGGGAGAGGUCGGUGGAAUUCCCGGUGUAGUGGUGAAAUGCGUAGAUAUCGGGAGGAACACCGGUGGCGAAGGCGGCGACCUGGGUUGACAUUGACGCUGAGGCGCGAAAGCGUGGGGAGCAAACAGG